RNAcentral lists this ribosomal RNA (387 nucleotides) under uncultured bacterium. RNAcentral describes it as "bacterial SSU rRNA". It matches the Rfam family "Archaeal small subunit ribosomal RNA", at positions 339 to 726 of the family's 1478-position model. The record is from RNAcentral.
GCGCGAAAACUUUACAAUGCUGGCAACAGCGAUAAGGGAACCUCGAGUGCCAGGUUACAAAUCUGGCUGUCGAGAUGCCUAAAAAGCAUUUCAUAGCAAGGGCCGGGCAAGACCGGUGCCAGCCGCCGCGGUAACACCGGCGGCUCGAGUGGUAACCGUUAUUAUUGGGUCUAAAGGGUCUGUAGCCGGCCGGAUAAGUCUCUUGAGAAAUCUGGCAGCGUAACUGUCAGGCUUUCAGGAGAUACUGUCUGGCUCGAGGCCGGGAGAGGUGAGAGGUACUUCAGGGGUAGGGGUGAAAUCUUGUAAUCCUUGAAGGAACACCAGUGGCGAAGGCGUUUCACCAGAACGGACCUGACGGCAAGGGACGAAAGCUAGGGGCACGAACCG